Non-coding RNA from Pteropus alecto (black flying fox), 73 nucleotides. Lineage: Eukaryota; Metazoa; Chordata; Mammalia; Chiroptera; Pteropodidae. The record is from Rfam.
UGUUCCAUAGUGUAGUGGUUAGCACAUCUGCUUUACAUGCAGAAGGUCCUGGGUUCAUGCCCCAGUGGAGCCA